GGGGUUGUGGCUCAGUGGUAAAGUGCUUGCCUAGCAUGUGUGAGACACUGAGUUCCAUCCUCAGCACCACA
Molecule: transfer RNA, 71 nt
Filed under: Marmota monax (woodchuck)
Lineage: Eukaryota; Metazoa; Chordata; Mammalia; Rodentia; Sciuridae
Description: tRNA.Ala
Source: RNAcentral